RNAcentral lists this non-coding RNA (46 nucleotides) under Schistosoma margrebowiei. Lineage: Eukaryota; Metazoa; Platyhelminthes; Trematoda; Strigeidida; Schistosomatidae. The record is from RNAcentral.
GCACUGCAGUCGAGUCCCAUAAUAAGACGAAACAGCUGUCUAGUGC